RNAcentral lists this ribosomal RNA (547 nucleotides) under uncultured bacterium. RNAcentral describes it as "partial 16S ribosomal RNA". It matches the Rfam family "Bacterial small subunit ribosomal RNA", at positions 355 to 889 of the family's 1533-position model. The record is from RNAcentral.
UGGGGAAUUUUGGACAAUGGGCGAAAGCCUGAUCCAGCAAUGCCGCGUGUGUGAAGAAGGCCUUCGGGUUGUAAAGCACUUUUGUCCGGAAAGAAAUCCUUGGCUCUAAUACAGUCGGGGGAUGACGGUACCGGAAGAAUAAGCACCGGCUAACUACGUGCCAGCAGCCGCGGUAAUACGUAGGGUGCAAGCGUUAAUCGGAAUUACUGGGCGUAAAGCGUGCGCAGGCGGUUUGCUAAGACCGAUGUGAAAUCCCGGGCUCAACCUGGGAACUGCAUUGGUGACUGGGCAGGCUAGAGUAUGGCAGAGGGGGGUAGAAUUCCACGUGUAGCAGUGAAAUGCGUAGAGAUGUGGAGGAAUACCGAUGGCGAAGGCAGCCCCCUGGGCCAAUACUGACGCUCAUGCACGAAAGCGUGGGGAGCAAAACAGGAUUAGGAUAACCCUGGUAGUCCACGCCCUAAAACGAUGUCAACUAGUUGUUGGGGAUUCAUUUCCUUAGUAACGUGAGCUAACGCGUGAAGUUGACCGCCUGGGGGAGUACGGUCGC